GGCGAGUGAAGCGGGAAGAGCUCAACAUUGUAAUCUGGCUGCUUCGCAGUCCGAGUUGUAGUCUAUAGAAGCAUGAUCCGCGCCGGCCCUUGGGCAUGUCUGUUGGAACGCAGUGUCAAAGAGGGUGAAAAUCCCGUACAUACCAAGGACGACCGUGUGCAUUGUGGUCUGCUCUCUAAGAGUCGAGUUGUUUGGGAAUGCAGCUCUAAUUGGGUGGUAAAUUCCAUCUAAAGCUAAAUAUCGACGAGAGACCGAUAGCGAACAAGUACAGUAAUGGAAAGAUGAAAAGUAGCCUGCAGAGGCAAUGAAACAAUACGUGAAACCGUUUGUAGGGAAGCGAUGGAACCUUUUCACGCUGCGAGGGUUCAGCUUGGCUUCGGCUUAGUGUAUUCCCUCGUUUUGCGGACCAGCAUCAGUUUGCUUCGCAGUAUAAGGGUGAUCGGAACGUGGCUUCUCCGGAAGUGUUAUAGCCUUUCACUGGAUGCUGUGUCGCAGACUGAGGACUGCAGUGCGCCGUAAGGCAUGGUCUUCGGGCCACGAGCACUUAGGAUGCUGGGCGAAUGGGUUUCAACGACCCGUCU
RNAcentral lists this ribosomal RNA (581 nucleotides) under Sterigmatomyces halophilus. RNAcentral describes it as "partial large subunit ribosomal RNA". It matches the Rfam family "Eukaryotic large subunit ribosomal RNA", at positions 88 to 654 of the family's 3401-position model. The record is from RNAcentral. Lineage: Eukaryota; Fungi; Basidiomycota; Agaricostilbomycetes; Agaricostilbales; Agaricostilbaceae.